Molecule: ribosomal RNA, 433 nt
Filed under: uncultured bacterium
Lineage: Bacteria
Description: partial 16S ribosomal RNA
Rfam family: Bacterial small subunit ribosomal RNA
Source: RNAcentral
AACGAACGCUGGCGGCAUGCCUAACACAUGCAAGUCGAACGAGACCUUCGGGUCUAGUUGCGCACGGGUGCGUAACGCGUGGGAACCUGCCCUUAGGUUCGGAAUAACUCCCCGAAAGGGGUGCUAAUACCGGAUAAUGUCUUCGGACCAAAGAUUUAUCGCCUUUGGAUGGGCCCGCGUUGGAUUAGCUAGUUGGUAGUGUAAAAGCCUACCAAGGCGACGAUGCAUAGCUGGUCUGAGAGGAUGAUCAACCACACUGGGACUGAGACACGGCCCAGACUCGUACGGGAGGCAGCAGUGGGGAAUAUUGGACAAGGGGCGAAAGCCUGAUACAGCAAUGCCGGGUGAGUGAUGAAGGCCUUAGGGUUGUAAAGCUCUUUUACCCGGGAUGAUAAUGACAGUACCGGGAGAAUAAGCACCGGCUAACUACGUG